AAGGAUUUAAGUUAAAUUAAAACUCUUAACCUUCAAAGUUAAAUAUAGAAAAAAUUCUAAGCCUUA
This 66-nucleotide transfer RNA is filed under the name Orthocis pygmaeus. RNAcentral's name for it is "tRNA-Trp". Lineage: Eukaryota; Metazoa; Arthropoda; Insecta; Coleoptera; Ciidae. The record is from RNAcentral.